UACGGAGGGUGCAAGCGUUAUCCGGAUUUAUUGGGUUUAAAGGGUGCGUAGGUGGUGUGUCAAGUCUGGUUUGAAAGUUAGCUGCUCAACAGUUAGACGUGGUUGGAAACUGUGAGUCUUGAAUGGGUUGGCGGCUGCCGGAACGUGUCAUGUAGCGGUGAAAUGCAUAGAUAUGACCCAGAACACCGAUUGCGAAGGCAGGCAGCUACGACCUGAUUGACACUGAGGCACGAGAGCAUGGGUAGCGAACAGG
Molecule: ribosomal RNA, 253 nt
Filed under: uncultured bacterium
Lineage: Bacteria
Description: partial 16S ribosomal RNA
Rfam family: Bacterial small subunit ribosomal RNA
Source: RNAcentral